GUCUCGCUUGCCUUCUUCUACAACCCUAAAAGUGACCUGCUGAUAAAACCUGCGAAGGAGCUCGUGACAGAAGAGCAACCAGCUCUCUAUCAAGCAAUGACAUAUGACGAGUACAGACUUUACAUCAGGACAAAGGGUCCAUGUGGGAAGCAACAAGUCGAAUCUUUAAAGUGCUCUUGAUGAUAGUUUUCUACGUGGGAUCGGAUUAAAGACUUGUUUGGUCGUCUUAAUUGAAUCUAAAUAAAUAAAAAGAAAUUCAUUACAUAUCGAUAUUAUGUAUAAUGAAAUCCAUCUAUUGCAUAGAUGAAACUUAGGGAUCGAUACUAUAUUUAGUGUAGGUAAUUUUUUUUCAUGAAAA
Molecule: unclassified non-coding RNA, 358 nt
Filed under: Hevea brasiliensis (rubber tree)
Lineage: Eukaryota; Viridiplantae; Streptophyta; Magnoliopsida; Malpighiales; Euphorbiaceae
Source: RNAcentral